UAUCGCAACGAGAGUUUGCUUAAGUCUUAUCAAUUGACCGUGGCUGUUGGCAACCUGUUAAACAACAAUCUUGACUAUUGCGUUCUGCGACCAGAAGAUCCUGGGGGCUACAUCGAGGUCGCUUUGCCAAUCUCAUCAAAUUUUCCAAAAUGCCAUUAAACUUUCUCUAGUUUAAUGGCGGUUAGAGCAGUCAAGACAUCCCUCUAAGGAAAUCUUCUCUUUGAACCACUUUUGCAAGGAAAAUCAAGGAAGGAUAAUUAGUGGACAAACAUUGUCGGGGCAAUUGUUUCGGGCAGUUGUUUAAGGAGCCAUUGCCGAGUUUGCGAACUUCACAAAAUGUACAUCAAAAAUAUAUUUUUUUCGAAACGUCAA
This is a long non-coding RNA of Dendroctonus ponderosae (mountain pine beetle), 372 nucleotides long. RefSeq lists it as uncharacterized. The record is from RefSeq and is a predicted model, not a curated record. Lineage: Eukaryota; Metazoa; Arthropoda; Insecta; Coleoptera; Curculionidae. The transcript is spliced from 2 exons.